Molecule: long non-coding RNA, 1062 nt
Organism: Capsicum annuum
Lineage: Eukaryota; Viridiplantae; Streptophyta; Magnoliopsida; Solanales; Solanaceae
Exons: 2
Source: RefSeq, a predicted model, not a curated record
AACCAAUCAACUUCAAUGCUUAUCUUGUGAUAUCCAUAUGUCAGGACAUUAUUAACAACUCAGCUUCCUAGCUCUUUCCGCCACACCACAAUUUGUCUUUCUUCCCUUAUAAAAAGUCUUUGUUUCUGCUUCAGUUUUCACAUAGUCAAACUAGGUUGUCUUCCUGGUGGAGAAUGUGAGUUUAGCAGAUCUGAAAAGGGAGAUGAAUUUAUCGAAAAUCUAUGGGAAUUGGUGGGUUGGAAAGCUUUUUAUGUCAUGGCAUGGAAUAUAUGAAAACUUUCCAAUUCCACCCAUUCCUAUGGGUUCUCGUUAUUCUCUCCCUUUUCUCUUGCUUUGAUUGUUGUUAUCCCUUACAGAUCAUCAACUUUGAAAGGGAAAUGCUAAUAUAACUCAGGCAUAUGCUGAUACAGUCAUUUUCUCUCCUGAUUGCGAUGACGACGUUUUUGUGAUGGAAACCUCUCAAGCAAACAUAGAUCUAAAAUGAACAUCGUUAUCUCAUAAAUUGAUUUUCGUGAAUUUUAAGGCCUGUCCAGCAAACACCAAGUUGGUUAUUUAUGAAAAAUGGACCAUUUUGCAAGCUAAUUGAGUGUGUGAGAGUAAUUUCAUUGAGUUUCACCUAAAUGCCCGAAAAGAUCACUAUCAAUAUUAAAAAGGACGAAUCCUCCUAAUACAGGUUGGUUUCUACAGGGUGUUACUGGUCGUCCUAUUGCAGGGCAUGAAAGUAGCAAAAAGAAGAAAAAAAUCUGCAAAAUAAAAGAUUAUGAGGAUUCUUUCAGUCUGCAUUUUUGAAUAACAAAUCUUGAAAGCAGCCAAAAGGAUACAAAUGGUGAUUCACAAGACCCAAUAGGAAGAAGAUGAAACGUGGAAUCUAUCAACACAAAAUGUUAGUACUUCGGUUGGCCCUUAUUUUGUUGAAAAUGUAACCAUUGGCUUAUAAUAUUUCUGUUUGAAUGCCAUUGCACCAUUUUUUGUUUCGUCACCCAACAUGGGAUGAUUCGCCUUAAACAUAAAAAGUUGUAUAACUUUUUAUAUCCAUUUAUUAUAUAUUUAUUUUCAAGAAUA